CCCUUAGAUGUUCUGGGCUGCACGCGCGCUACACUGAUGCGCUCAACGAGUUUAUGACCUUGCCCGGAAGGGUUGGGUAAUCUUCUUAAAACGCAUCGUGAUGGGGAUAGAUUAUUGCAAUUAUUAAUCUUCAACGAGGAAUUCCUAGUAAGCGCGAGUCAUCAGCUCGUGCUGAUUACGUCCCUGCCCUUUGUACACACCGCCCGUCGCUACUACCGAUUGGAUGGUUUAGUGAGAUCCUCGGAUUGGUCCCGGCGCGGCCUCUGGUCGUGCCGGAGUGCCGAAAAGAAUGUCGAACUUGAUCAUCUAGAGGAAGUAAAAGUCGUAACA
Molecule: ribosomal RNA, 330 nt
Filed under: uncultured eukaryote
Lineage: Eukaryota
Description: partial 18S ribosomal RNA
Rfam family: Eukaryotic small subunit ribosomal RNA
Source: RNAcentral